UACGUAGGGGGCGAGCGUUGUCCGGAUUCAUUGGGCGUAAAGAGCUCGUAGGCGGCUUGGCAAGUCGGAUGUGAAACCUCCAGGCUCAACCUGGAGCCGCCAUUCGAUACUGCCAUGGCUAGAGUCCGGUAGGGGACCACGGAAUUCCUGGUGUAGCGGUGAAAUGCGCAGAUAUCAGGAGGAACACCGGUGGCGAAGGCGGUGGUCUGGGCCGGUACUGACGCUGAGGAGCGAAAGCGUGGGGAGCGAACAGG
This 254-nucleotide ribosomal RNA is filed under the name uncultured bacterium. RNAcentral's name for it is "partial 16S ribosomal RNA". It matches the Rfam family "Bacterial small subunit ribosomal RNA", at positions 524 to 776 of the family's 1533-position model. The record is from RNAcentral.